This 885-nucleotide ribosomal RNA is filed under the name Pestalotiopsis kenyana. RNAcentral's name for it is "LSU rRNA". It matches the Rfam family "Eukaryotic large subunit ribosomal RNA", at positions 44 to 954 of the family's 3401-position model. The record is from RNAcentral. Lineage: Eukaryota; Fungi; Ascomycota; Sordariomycetes; Amphisphaeriales; Sporocadaceae.
CAAUAAGCGGAGGAAAAGAAACCAACAGGGAUUGCCUUAGUAACGGCGAGUGAAGCGGCAACAGCUCAAAUUUGAAAUCUGGCCCUCGGGUCCGAAUUGUAAUUUGUAGAGGAUGAUUUUGGUGCGGUAUCUUCCGAGUUCCUUGGAACAGGACGCCUUAGAGGGUGAGAGCCCCGUACGGUUGAAUGCCUAGCCUCUGUAAAUCUCCUUCGACGAGUCGAGUAGUUUGGGAAUGCUGCUCUAAAUGGGAGGUAAAUUUCUUCUAAAGCUAAAUAUUGGCCAGAGACCGAUAGCGCACAAGUAGAGUGAUCGAAAGAUGAAAAGCACUUUGAAAAGAGGGUUAAAUAGCACGUGAAAUUGUUGAAAGGGAAGGAUUUGUGACCAGACUUUUUCUGGGCGGAUCAUCCGGGGUUCUCUCCGGUGCACUUUGCCCAGUAAAGGCCAGCAUCGAUUUUCGGCGGCGGAUAAAAGCAGUGGGAAUGUGGCUCCCUACGGGGAGUGUUAUAGCCCAUUGUAUAAUACGCUGCUGGGGAUCGAGGUACGCGCUUCUGCAAGGAUGCUGGCGUAAUGGUUAUCAAUCACCCGUCUUGAAACACGGACCAAGGAGUCGAACAUUUAUGCGAGUGUUUGGGUGUUAAACCCUCACGCGUAAUGAAAGUGAACGGAGGUGAGAGCCCGUACGGGUGCAUCAUCGACCGAUCCUGAAGUUUUCGGAUGGAUUUGAGUAAGAGCAUAACUGUUCGGACCCGAAAGAUGGUGAACUAUGCGUGGAUAGGGUGAAGCCAGAGGAAACUCUGGUGGAGGCUCGCAGCGGUUCUGACGUGCAAAUCGAUCGUCAAAUCUGCGCAUGGGGGCGAAAGACUAAUCGAACCAUCUAGUAGCUGG